Molecule: ribosomal RNA, 316 nt
Filed under: uncultured eukaryote
Lineage: Eukaryota
Description: partial 18S ribosomal RNA
Rfam family: Eukaryotic small subunit ribosomal RNA
Source: RNAcentral
CCCUUAGAUGUCCUGGGCCGCACGCGUGCUACACUGACACUUGCAACGAGUACUUCCCGAAUUCGAAAGAAAUACGGUAAUCAUCAAUAAGUGUCGUGAUGGGGAUAGAUCUUUGGAAUUAUGGAUCUUGAACGAGGAAUGCCUAGUAAGCGUAGGUCAUUAGCCUACGCUGAUUAAGUCCCUGCCCUUUGUACACACCGCCCGUCGCUCCUACCGAUUUCGAGUGGUCCGGUGAAUUUUUUGGACCGAGACGGCCUUGAGCUGUCUUGGAAAGUCAAAUAAACCAUACUACUUAGAGGAAGGAGAAGUCGUANCA